RNAcentral lists this ribosomal RNA (273 nucleotides) under uncultured bacterium. RNAcentral describes it as "partial 16S ribosomal RNA". It matches the Rfam family "Bacterial small subunit ribosomal RNA", at positions 524 to 796 of the family's 1533-position model. The record is from RNAcentral.
UACGUAGGGUGCAAGCGUUGUCCGGAAUUAUUGGGCGUAAAGAGCUCGUAGGCGGUCUGUCGCGUCGGCUGUGAAAACUCGGGGCUCAACCCCGAGCCUGCAGUCGAUACGGGCAGACUAGAGUGCUGUAGGGGAGACUGGAAUUCCUGGUGUAGCGGUGAAAUGCGCAGAUAUCAGGAGGAACACCGGUGGCGAAGGCGGGUCUCUGGGCAGUAACUGACGCUGAGGAGCGAAAGCGUGGGGAGCGAACAGGAUUAGAUACCCGUGUAGUCC